RNAcentral lists this ribosomal RNA (1320 nucleotides) under uncultured bacterium. Its description in RNAcentral is "bacterial SSU rRNA". It matches the Rfam family "Bacterial small subunit ribosomal RNA", at positions 42 to 1381 of the family's 1533-position model. The record is from RNAcentral.
GCGUGCUUAACACAUGCAAGUCGAGCGAGACUGUUCGUCGGAGCUUUUCUAGCGGCGGACGGGUGAGUAACACGUGGGCAACCUGCCUCAUAGAGGGGAAUAGCCUUCCGAAAGGAAGAUUAAUACCGCAUAACAUUGUUGAAAGGCAUCUUUUAACAAUCAAAGGAGCAAUCCGCUAUGAGAUGGGCCCGCGGCGCAUUAGCUAGUUGGUGAGGUAACGGCUCACCAAGGCGACGAUGCGUAGCCGACCUGAGAGGGUGAUCGGCCACAUUGGAACUGAGACACGGUCCAGACUCCUACGGGAGGCAGCAGUGGGGAAUAUUGCACAAUGGGGGUAACCCUGAUGCAGCAACGCCGCGUGAGUGAUGAAGGUCUUCGGAUUGUAAAGCUCUGUCUUUAGGGACGAUAAUGACGGUACCUGACUAAGAAGCUCCGGCUAAAUACGUGCCAGCAGCCGCGGUAAUACGUAUGGAGCAAGCGUUAUCCGGAUUUACUGGGUGUAAAGGGAGCGUAGACGGCAUGGCAAGUCUGAUGUGAAAAUCCCGGGCUCAACCCGGGAACUGCAUUGGAAACUGUUAAGCUAGAGUGCAGGAGAGGUAAGUGGAAUUCCUAGUGUAGCGGUGAAAUGCGUAGAUAUUAGGAGGAACACCAGUGGCGAAGGCGGCUUACUGGACUGUAACUGACGUUGAGGCUCGAAAGCGUGGGGAGCAAACAGGAUUAGAUACCUUGGUAGUCCACGCCGUAAACGAUGAAUACUAGGUGUCGGGGGUUUAUGAACCUUCGGUGCCGCAGCAAACGCAAUAAGUAUUCCACCUGGGGAGUACGUUCGCAAGAAUGAAACUCAAAGGAAUUGACGGGGACCCGCACAAGCGGUGGAGCAUGUGGUUUAAUUCGAAGCAACGCGAAGAACCUUACCAAGUCUUGACAUCCCAUUGACAGGGACUUAAUCGUCCCCUUUCUUCGGAACAAUGGAGACAGGUGGUGCAUGGUUGUCGUCAGCUCGUGUCGUGAGAUGUUGGGUUAAGUCCCGCAACGAGCGCAACCCUUGUCCUUAGUAGCCAGCAUUAAGAUGGGCACUCUAGGGAGACUGCCCGGGAUAACCGGGAGGAAGGUGGGGAUGACGUCAAAUCAUCAUGCCCCUUAUGAUUUGGGCUACACACGUGCUACAAUGGCGUAAACAAAGGGAAGCGAGACUGUGAAGUUAAGCAAAUCUCAUAAAUAACGUCUCAGUUCGGAUUGUAGUCUGCAACUCGACUACAUGAAGCUGGAAUCGCUAGUAAUCGCGGAUCAGAGUGCCGCGGUGAAUACGUUCCCGGGUCU